CCUUCGAUAGCUCAGUUGGUAGAGCGGUGGACUGUAGAUUCGCGAUAUGUUGAAAUCCAUAGGUCGCUGGUUCAAAUCCGGCUCGAAGGAUAU
Molecule: transfer RNA, 93 nt
Filed under: Drosophila persimilis
Lineage: Eukaryota; Metazoa; Arthropoda; Insecta; Diptera; Drosophilidae
Also listed under: 1 other name
Description: tRNA-Tyr
Rfam family: tRNA
About the family: Transfer RNA (tRNA) molecules are approximately 80 nucleotides in length. Their secondary structure includes four short double-helical elements and three loops (D, anti-codon, and T loops).
Source: RNAcentral